CGAUGUGAGGGUUAUCUGGCUGUGACAUCUGUCACCCCAUUGAUCACCAGGGUUGAUUGGACUGAUGUGGCAGGCUAGGCAAGUGGCCCCUUCCUCUCUCACCACCCCAUGUGCCUCCCUCCUGAAGCUGUGUGCUCACUCAAAGAGGAAGGCCUUCCUUCCCUGAUAGAGGAGGACUGUUCUUUGGUCAAGGGUAUAUGAGUAGCUGUGCUCCCUGGCUAGAACCUUCGAACAAACUUUCAAGGUCCAUUUGUAGGAGAACAUUGGAUUUUAUUUCAUUAUUUAAAAAAGGAGACAUCACUCUUU
Ursus americanus (American black bear) is the source of this 306-nucleotide unclassified non-coding RNA. Its record names the gene 7SK. It matches the Rfam family "7SK RNA". From Rfam's summary of the family: 7SK was discovered as an abundant small nuclear RNA in the mid-70s but a possible function has only recently been suggested. The record is from Ensembl. NCBI's taxonomy places the organism in Eukaryota, Metazoa, Chordata, Mammalia, Carnivora, Ursidae.